Molecule: ribosomal RNA, 606 nt
Filed under: Amanita subglobosa
Lineage: Eukaryota; Fungi; Basidiomycota; Agaricomycetes; Agaricales; Amanitaceae
Description: LSU rRNA
Rfam family: Eukaryotic large subunit ribosomal RNA
Source: RNAcentral
GGAUUCCCCUAGUAACUGCGAGUGAAGAGGGAAGAGCUCAAAUUUGAAAUCUGGCAGUGUUUUGCUGUCCGAGUUGUAAUCUAGAGAAGUGCUGCCCGUGCUGGACCAUGUACAAGUCUCCUGGAAUGGAGCGUCACAGAGGGUGAGAAUCCCGUCUUUGACAUGGACUGCCAGUGCAUUUGUGGUGUGCUCUCAAAGAGUCGAGUUGUUUGGGAAUGCAGCUCUAAAUGGGUGGUAAACUCCAUCUAAAGCUAAAUAUUGGCGAGAGACCGAUAGCGAACAAGUACCGUGAGGGAAAGAUGAAAAGAACUUUGGAAAGAGAGUUAAACAGUAUGUGAAAUUGUUGAAAGGGAAACGCUUAAAGUCAGUCGUGUCGGCCAGGGAUCAACUCAGUAUUAUCUGCUGGGUGUACUUCCUGAUCUGAUGGGCCAACAUCAGUUUUGACUGCUGGAAAAGGAUAGAGGGAAUGUGGCACCUUUGGGUGUGUUAUAGCUCUCUGUCGGAUGCAGUGGUUGGGACUGAGGAAAGCAGCAUGCCGCAAGGCCGGGUCGUUUCGACCACGUUCAUGCUGAGGAUGUUGGCAUAAUGGCUUUAAUCGACCCGUCU